AGUGAACGCUGGCGGUAGGCCUAACACAUGCAAGUCGAACGGCAGCACAGUAAGAGCUUGCUCUUACGGGUGGCGAGUGGCGGACGGGUGAUGAAUACAUCGGAAUCUACUUUUUCGUGGGGGAUAACGUAGGGAAACUUACGCUAAUACCGCAUACGACCUACGGGUGAAAGCAUGGGAUCUUCGGACCUUGCGCGAUUGAAUGAGCCGAUGUCGGAUUAGCUAGUUGGCGGGGUAAAGGCCCACCAAGGCGACGAUCCGUAGCUGGUCUGAGAGGAUGAUCAGCCACACUGGAACUGAGACACGGUCCAGACUCCUACGGGAGGCAGCAGUGGGGAAUAUUGGACAAUGGGCGCAAGCCUGAUCCAGCCAUACCGCGUGGGUGAAGAAGGCCUUCGGGUUGUAAAGCCCUUUUGUUGGGAAAGAAAAGCAGCAGGUUAAUACCCCGCUGUUCUGACGGUACCAAAAGAAUAAGCACCGGCUAACUUCGUG
Molecule: ribosomal RNA, 492 nt
Filed under: uncultured bacterium
Lineage: Bacteria
Description: partial 16S ribosomal RNA
Rfam family: Bacterial small subunit ribosomal RNA
Source: RNAcentral